AUACUUAAACAAUGUCUCU
Molecule: small nuclear RNA, 19 nt
Filed under: Arabidopsis thaliana (thale cress)
Lineage: Eukaryota; Viridiplantae; Streptophyta; Magnoliopsida; Brassicales; Brassicaceae
Description: snRNA_05285
Source: RNAcentral